AACGAACGCUGGCGGCAGGCCUAACACAUGCAAGUCGAGCGGGGGAGCAAUCCCUAGCGGCGGACGGGUUAGUAACGCGUGGGAACAUACCCUUUGGUACGGAAUAGCCUCGGGAAACUGAGAGUAAUACCGUAUGUGCCCUUCGGGGGAAAGAUUUAUCGCCAAAGGAUUGGCCCGCGUUGGAUUAGGUAGUUGGUGGGGUAAUGGCCUACCAAGCCUACGAUCCAUAGCUGGUUUGAGAGGAUGAUCAGCAACACUGGGACUGAGACACGGCCCAGACUCCUACGGGAGGCAGCAGUGGGGAAUCUUAGACAAUGGGCGCAAGCCUGAUCUAGCCAUGCCGCGUGAGCGAUGAAGGCCUUAGGGUUGUAAAGCUCUUUCAGAUGGGAAGAUAAUGACGGUACCAUCAGAAGAAGCCCCGGCUAACUCGGUGCCAGCAGCCGC
This 444-nucleotide ribosomal RNA is filed under the name uncultured bacterium. Its description in RNAcentral is "bacterial SSU rRNA". It matches the Rfam family "Bacterial small subunit ribosomal RNA", at positions 29 to 518 of the family's 1533-position model. The record is from RNAcentral.